Molecule: ribosomal RNA, 506 nt
Filed under: uncultured bacterium
Lineage: Bacteria
Description: partial 16S ribosomal RNA
Rfam family: Bacterial small subunit ribosomal RNA
Source: RNAcentral
GAUGAACGCUAGCUACAGGCUUAACACAUGCAAGUCGAGGGGUAACGAGAGGGAAGCUUGCUUUCCUUGUCGACGACCGGCGCACGGGUGAGUAACGCGUAUCCAACCUGCCCCCAACUAGGGAAUAACCUUGCGAAAGUAAGACUAAUACCCUAUAAUUUCCUCAGAUGUCAUCUGACGAGGAAUAAAGAUUUAUCGGUUGUGGAUGGGGAUGCGUCUGAUUAGCUUGUUGGCGGGGUAACGGCCCACCAAGGCAACGAUCAGUAGGGGUUCUGAGAGGAAGGUCCCCAACAUGGGAACUGAGACACGGUCCAAACUCCUACGGGAGGCAGCAGUGAGGAAUAUUGGUCAAUGGGCGGAAGCUUGAACCAGCCAAGUAGCGUGCAGGAUGACGGCCCUAUGGGUUGUAAACUGCUUUUAUACAGGAAUAAAGUUAGCCACGUGUGGUUAUUUGUAGGUACUGUAUGAAUAAGGACCGGCUAAUUCCGUGCCAGCCGCCGCGGUAA